This is a long non-coding RNA of Salmo trutta (river trout), 1836 nucleotides long. Lineage: Eukaryota; Metazoa; Chordata; Actinopteri; Salmoniformes; Salmonidae. The record is from Ensembl.
CGAGAUCCGGCAGGUGGUCUUUUUUUAGGUGGACUGAAAAUAAGCUGCUGCGUGUUGUUGCAGGUGGUGGUGUGGCAGAAGGCCAAGGUGUCCGAUCACAGGAUUGCUCUCAUGGCUAUGCUGUGGGCCAACGCUGUGGCCCACCUGCUUUUCAGUCCACCAUCAACAAGAACAACCAGAGGUGGUCCGGCAGCACUACCUGGCUCAGUACCCGGCAGACUCUGCCCGCAGCUGUUAUCCCACUAUGAUGCUCGACAUCACUGUUCCCGCAUCCACUGUAGACGUCAACCUGACCCCCAAGAAGACCCAGAUUCUGCACCAGAACAAGGUUCCGUUUUCUCUUUUUUUCCUCAAUUUCCUUGCGGACAGAUUCAUGUUCCACACUACCACUAUCAUUCUAUGAGCUUUGGUUGAAAGAAUACUAAACUUAGGGGAAACUAAAUAUGAUUGAGGAUGUUCGAAAGAUUUAUAAAAACGGACAGUAGCUGCAGAACCAGUUACCAGUCAAUUCAUCCUUUUCAGCUUUCUGACCGAUUCAGCUGCAAAUAUGCGAUGCAAGAUCCAGUAAACAAAUGUAUGAUUUCCCUACAUGUAGCCUCUACGGUACAGCAAGGAAUCCAUUUACUUGCUUUGGCUAGCUAACGUUACUGUCCCUUUGCCCUUUGUCCAACUAUCUCAUUUAUCUCCUCAAAAUAACUUGAUUGAUUUUCUGUGAUAAAAAUAGGAAGUGCUGACAGUAAACAGUAAGUUGCCAAUCAGUUCCUUAGCCACAUUAACUAAAUGUGCAGUUACCUGGGUGCACAGCCACUGCCUGUAAAGAAGGGAAAGUGAACAGCAUGGGCAUUAGUGUGUUAUGUUAUUUCUCACAGAGACUGUGACUGUUAGGAGGCUGUGCUGGCAGCAUUGGAGACGCUGUUGGUUUCCUUGUAUGGCCCUGGUUCGCGGUCUCCUGCUGAGGUGCCACCAGUCACUGUAGAAGAUGCCUACAGUUGCCCAUUAUCACUGGGCAACUGUAGGGGAAACGCUGACGUAGAGGACAGUCUUAUGGAGCACAGUGUCACGGUGGACAAAGCGCCAUUUGGCUACAGUGAUGGCUCUCCAUCCAGGGUAGUGGCUGGUGACCAGACAGUAAACACUAGCUCCUCCUCUUCCUCUGAAGACUGGAUAGUCAACCAAAUCCCAGGGGACUUUGACUUUUUUACUAUUGGAAGAUGAAAUUGCUUUGACCUGCAGCGAGAUAACAAAUCCAGGCCCAGCUAAAGGCCUGGAGAGGCUCAACAGCCAUGACCAACAUCCUGACAAAGACGUUGAGCAGUUAUCAGCAGUGAGUUGGAGCCGAGGCACGGCUCUGACAGACCCCUCCACAGGAGAGCCACUGCAGUCCGUCAAGGUCCACCUGCCCACCGGAUGCAGCAGUGACCUGGGCCUGGUCGAGGCCAAGGAUCAGAGCAGCCCUGGCAAAAAGGUGUCCAACGCUAUAACAGAGAAACGUGCGUCACUGAAGGCCUACAACCUGAUCAGUAGCCGUACCAUGAGGACCCCCCUGUCCCCCGCUGCCUGUUUGAGAGGGAGACCCGGGCAGAGGUUCUCCAGGUGGAGCCCGCAGCAAGCCUCCAGGACAUCACCUCUGCCGUGCAGGAGAGAUGGAAAAACCUGGGGGAGGAGGACCGAAAGAAGUGAGUUUCCAGACUUUACCUUCGAAGCAGUUUCCAUUUGUUAUUAUUAGCAAGGCAAAAAAAAGAAAGAUUGACCUGUCACUUGCAUGUGUAAAAUAUGGCCCUGGAAAUUUUGCUUGGCUUAUUCAUGUUGCUACCCAGACAGAAUUGUUAAUAUGAG